Molecule: unclassified non-coding RNA, 253 nt
Filed under: uncultured Cytophagaceae bacterium
Lineage: Bacteria; Pseudomonadati; Bacteroidota; Cytophagia; Cytophagales; Cytophagaceae
Description: contains 16S-23S intergenic spacer region
Rfam family: Bacterial small subunit ribosomal RNA
Source: RNAcentral
UACGGAGGGUGCAAGCGUUGUCCGGAUUUAUUGGGUUUAAAGGGCGCGUAGGCGGCUAUUUAAGUCAGUGGUGAAAUCCUCCAGCUUAACUGGAGAACUGCCAUUGAUACUGGGUAGCUUGAGUACAGACGAGGUAGGCGGAAUUGACAGUGUAGCGGUGAAAUGCAUAGAUAUUGUCAAGAACACCGAUUGCGAAGGCAGCUUACUAGACUGUAACUGACGCUGAGGCACGAAAGUGCGGGGAUCAAACAGG